This 330-nucleotide unclassified non-coding RNA is filed under the name soil metagenome. RNAcentral describes it as "partial contains 5.8S ribosomal RNA, internal transcribed spacer 2, and large subunit ribosomal RNA". The stretch from base 1 to 120 matches the Rfam family "5.8S ribosomal RNA", at positions 35 to 154 of the family's 154-position model. The record is from RNAcentral.
GAUGAAGAACGUAGCGAAAUGCGAUACGUAAUGUGAAUUGCAGAAUUCAGUGAAUCAUCGAGUCUUUGAACGCACAUUGCGCCCUCUGGUAUUCCGGGGGGCAUGCCUGUUCGAGCGUCAUUAUAACCACUCAAGCUCUCGCUUGGUAUUGGGGUUCGCGGUUUCGCGGCCCCUAAAAUCAGUGGCGGUGCCUGUCGGCUCUACGCGUAGUAAUACUCCUCGCGAUUGAGUCCGGUAGGUCUACUUGCCAGCAACCCCUAAUUUUUUUAAGGUUGACCUCGGAUCAGGUAGGGAUACCCGCUGAACUUAAGCAUAUCAAUAAGCGGAGGA